Molecule: ribosomal RNA, 492 nt
Filed under: uncultured bacterium
Lineage: Bacteria
Description: partial 16S ribosomal RNA
Rfam family: Bacterial small subunit ribosomal RNA
Source: RNAcentral
AGUGAACGCUGGCGGUAGGCCUAACACAUGCAAGUCGAACGGCAGCACAGUAAGAGCUUGCUCUUACGGGUGGCGAGUGGCGGACGGGUGAGGAAUACAUCGGAAUCUACUUUUUCGUGGGGGAUAACGUAGGGAAACUUACGCUAAUACCGCAUACGACCUACGGGUGAAAGCAGGGGAUCUUCGGACCUUGCGCGAUUGAAUGAGCCGAUGUCGGAUUAGCUAGUUGGCGGGGUAAAGGCCCACCAAGGCGACGAUCCGUAGCUGGUCUGAGAGGAUGAUAGGCCAGAGGGGGAUGAGAGCGCGGUACAGACGCCUACGGGAGGCAGCAGUGGGGAAUGUGGGAAAAGGGGCGGAAGGUUGUGACAGCAAGGACGCGGGGGUGAAGAAGGCCUUCGGGGUGUACAGCCCUUCUGGUGGGAAAGAAAGGCUGCGGGCUAAUACCCGUCGGGCCUGACGGUACCGUAAGAAUAAGCACCGGCUCACUUAGUG